This 468-nucleotide ribosomal RNA is filed under the name uncultured bacterium. RNAcentral describes it as "partial 16S ribosomal RNA". It matches the Rfam family "Bacterial small subunit ribosomal RNA", at positions 28 to 507 of the family's 1533-position model. The record is from RNAcentral.
GACGAACGCUGGCGGCGUGCUUAACACAUGCAAGUCGAACGGAAAGGCCCUGCUUUUGUGGGGUGCUCGAGUGGCGAACGGGUGAGUAACACGUGAGUAACCUGCCCUUGACUUUGGGAUAACUUCAGGAAACUGGGGCUAAUACCGGAUAGGAGCUCCUGCUGCAUGGUGGGGGUUGGAAAGUUUCGGCGGUUGGGGAUGGACUCGCGGCUUAUCAGCUUGUUGGUUGGGUAGUGGCUUACCAAGGCUUUGCCGGGUAGCCGGCCUGAGAGGGUGACCGGCCACAUUGGGACUGAGAUACGGCCCAGACUCCUACGGGAGGCAGCAGUGGGGAGUAUUGCACAAUGGGCGGAAGCCUGAUGCAGCAACGCCGCGUGCGGGAUGACGGCCUUCGGGUUGUAAACCGCUUUCGCCUGUGACGAAGCGUGAGUGACGGUAAUGGGUAAAGAAGCACCGGCUAACUACGUG